CUACCAGGGUAUCUAAUCCUGUUUGCUCCCCUAGCUUUCGUCCCUCAGCGUCAGUUGCGAUCCAGCAAGCCGCUUUCGCCUCGGAUGUUCCUGCGGAUAUCUACGCAUUUCACCGCUACACCCGCAAUUCCACUUGCCUCUCUCGCACUCUAGCACGGCAGUUUCGGAAGCAGCCUCUGAGUUAAGCCCAGAGAUUUCACUUCCGACUUGCCACACCGCCUACGGACCCUUUACGCCCAGUAAUUCCGAGCAACGCUGGCCCCCUACGUUUUACCGCGGCUGCUGGCAC
RNAcentral lists this ribosomal RNA (289 nucleotides) under uncultured Acidobacteriota bacterium. Its description in RNAcentral is "uncultured Acidobacteria bacterium partial 16S ribosomal RNA". The record is from RNAcentral. Lineage: Bacteria; Pseudomonadati; Acidobacteriota.